RNAcentral lists this non-coding RNA (21 nucleotides) under Arabidopsis thaliana (thale cress). Lineage: Eukaryota; Viridiplantae; Streptophyta; Magnoliopsida; Brassicales; Brassicaceae. The record is from RNAcentral.
CAUCGCUUCAUCUAACUCCUA